This 497-nucleotide ribosomal RNA is filed under the name uncultured bacterium. RNAcentral describes it as "partial 16S ribosomal RNA". It matches the Rfam family "Bacterial small subunit ribosomal RNA", at positions 28 to 507 of the family's 1533-position model. The record is from RNAcentral.
GAUGAACGCUGGCGGCGUGCCUAAUACAUGCAAGUCGAGCGAACAGACGAGGAGCUUGCUCCUCUGACGUUAGCGGCGGACGGGUGAGUAACACGUGGAUAACCUACUUAUCAGACUGGGAUAACUUCGGGAAACCGGAGCUAAUACCGGAUAAUAUAUUGAACCGCAUGGUUCAAUGGUGAAAGACGGUUUUGCUGUCACUUCUAGAUGGAUCCGCGCCGCAUUAGCUAGUUGGUAGGGUAACGGCUUACCACGGCAACGAUGCGUAGCCGACCGGAGAGGGUGAUAGGCCACACGGGAGCUGGGCCACGGUCCUGACUCCUACGGGAGGCAGCAGUAGGGAAUCGUCCGCAAUGGGCGAGAGCCUUACGGAGCAACGCCGCGUGAGUGAUGAAGGUCUUCGGAUCGUAAAACUCUGUUAUUAGGGAAGAACAAAUUUGUAAGUAACUAUGCACGUCUUGACGGUACCUAAUCAGAAAGCCACGGCUAACUACGUG